CACAGGCUGCCUCCACCACACAAGAUCUCCAGCGUUUACAACCUGGAGCUAUACCUGCUAUCACGCAGAUAGAUCUAUGAGAUGACUGGUGGAGAUCUGUAAUAGUUUUUGAGCCUCCUUGGAAGCUUGUCAAGCAAUUCUGUCCUAUCUAGAGAGAGACCAGGAUAGCGAGUGAGUGAGCUUCCCUAAGUAUAAUCCACAUCUG
Non-coding RNA from Pelobates cultripes (western spadefoot toad), 205 nucleotides. The record is from the annotation of a GenBank genome assembly. NCBI's taxonomy places the organism in Eukaryota, Metazoa, Chordata, Amphibia, Anura, Pelobatidae.